Molecule: long non-coding RNA, 321 nt
Organism: Clarias gariepinus (North African catfish)
Lineage: Eukaryota; Metazoa; Chordata; Actinopteri; Siluriformes; Clariidae
Exons: 3
Source: RefSeq, a predicted model, not a curated record
ACAGACUCUGGUAACUCAACUGAUGCUCCAGAUAACCAGCAGUCUACAGGAGCAGAGCUCGGGAUUACACUGUGUGUGUGCCUGGUCUCUAUCCUAAUAAACUUCAUCUGCAUGUUUGUGUUUUGCUGCAAACUCAAAGAAAAGUCAAGGGAAAAGGAGUCAUGCAGUUGCUUCAGAAACACCACAGACCCAAGUCAAAAGGAAGAAAACAUUCAUUAUGCCAGUGUCCAACACAACAGAGGUUCCAGAGCUGCUGCUAAGAAAAACACAUCAUCAGAUGAAGACAGUGUGACCUACGUUACAGUUGCCCCACAGCCUCGG